This 492-nucleotide ribosomal RNA is filed under the name uncultured bacterium. Its description in RNAcentral is "partial 16S ribosomal RNA". It matches the Rfam family "Bacterial small subunit ribosomal RNA", at positions 29 to 507 of the family's 1533-position model. The record is from RNAcentral.
AGUGAACGCUGGCGGUAGGCCUAACACAUGCAAGUCGAGCGGCAGCACAGUAAGAGCUUGCUCUUACGGGUGGCGAGUGGCGGACGGGUGAGGAAUACAUCGGAAUCUACUUUUUCGUGGGGGAUAACGUAGGGAAACUUACGCUAAUAUCGCAUACGACCUACGGGUGAAAGCAGGGGAUCUUCGGACCUUGCGCGAAUGGAUGAGCCGAUGUUGGAUUAGCUAGUUGGCGGGGUAAAGGCCCACCAAGGCGACGAUCCGUAGCUGGUCUGAGAGGAUGAUCAGCCACACUGGAACUGAGACACGGUCCAGACUCCUACGGGAGGCAGCAGUGGGGAAUAUUGGACAAUGGGCGCAAGCCUGAUCCAGCCAUACCGCGUGGGUGAAGAAGGCCUUCGGGUUGUAAAGCCCUUUUGUUGGGAAAGAAAAGCAGCAGGUUAAUACCCCGCUGUUCUGACGGUACCCAAAGAAUAAGCACCGGCUAACUUCGUG